Molecule: unclassified non-coding RNA, 439 nt
Filed under: plant metagenome
Description: partial contains small subunit ribosomal RNA, internal transcribed spacer 1, and 5.8S ribosomal RNA
Source: RNAcentral
UUUCCGUAGGUGAACCUGCGGAAGGAUCAUUGCACACAUGAUGCAGCAAACUAGCGAACUGUGUUUGUCCCCCACCUACCCCAAACACGAGGGGCCGCAUCUGGAGGUGCGGCUGUCGACGGCAAGGUCCCGACCUUCGGGUCCCCGCAGUGGUUCCCGCAAGCGGGCUGAUCAUGUCGCCGUCUGGGUGUCCCGCGCGGGCUCUCGCCUUGCCUUAGGGUUGGGCGACGCGGGCAUUCUCCUCCCUUCGAUGACGUCGUCCCCUCCUCCGGGAGAGCGACACGCCUCGAGGGCCGUCUACAACUUGGCACCAGGUACAGCACCAGUGCGUGAGUAUACCGGUGUCCCGGUUCCGCUGCUGCACUCGGGUGGUGCGAGAUAGGUCCAUAGGAACAAGAGUAACUAAAAACAACUCUCAGCAACGGAUAUCUUGGCUCUU